UUUCAUGAAACUCGAAAGAAAGCUAAUGAAACACUAGAAAAUGGGGAUCAAGAUAAAUAUGAUGAAAUUGUUCAAGUCAAACAAGCAAACCCUUCACUUUCUGACAUUGAGAUAGUUGAGAAAAUCUGGGGGAAGCAAUCUCAUGGUCACAUCACUGUAUUUGGUGGCGGGACUACUUUAAAAGAUUUGAGAGGACCGCUCCCUAGUCGAUCUGAUCUGGAAGCACGGGUUAUAGAAGAAAAGAGAAAGAACCAGAUGCUUCAACAACGCUUAGAUGAGCAGGAGCAACAACAACAAAGGAUGUCUGAGUUGGAGUCACAAGUGAAAGCUAUGCAAGAACUUUUUUUUAGGCAAUCACCUUCAUUGGCUCCUCAAACUCAAGAACGUGUGCAGGAUUAGGCUAUCCAUGCAAGAUUAGGAGGGGGGUAGCUCGAGUCUUCUUUAAUUUGACG
Molecule: long non-coding RNA, 452 nt
Organism: Asparagus officinalis (garden asparagus)
Lineage: Eukaryota; Viridiplantae; Streptophyta; Magnoliopsida; Asparagales; Asparagaceae
Exons: 3
Source: RefSeq, a predicted model, not a curated record